This is a long non-coding RNA of Numida meleagris (helmeted guineafowl), 921 nucleotides long. The record is from Ensembl. NCBI's taxonomy places the organism in Eukaryota, Metazoa, Chordata, Aves, Galliformes, Numididae.
GCCAAGGACGGGGCUUCUUGCAGCCACAUGAGCUGCUCUGCUUUGCCUUUCUGCAAAGUUCUGUUACAAAACAUGUUAAUGGCAACCAUUUUGGUUAGCAACUAAUUCCUUAGAGCAAAUGUCUUUAAGUCAAUUGUGUAUCAGAUGUUGCCACAUAUUACUUUGUUUUGGUGUUUAGCCACAAAUAGCUUGUGACAAUAUUUUGUGUUAUAAUACACCAUAAUUUACUUCUAGCAAGCAUGUAAUUCCUGAGAGACGGAGUGGCACUCAGCCUAUAUGUUCUUUGGUCUGUGUUAUAUUCAGUCCAACACAAUGGGUGCAGCUGAAUGAUUUAAUGUCAUCUCGAAAGAAUUCACACAGGCUGCUGAAAAAGAAAACCGGCCAUGGAAAUAAUUUGUAACUAAAUGCAUACAUAAAUAUAGGGCUACAAUGCACACAGAGGCAGUGUAAUGCUGUCCCCUGCUGAACUUUUCAACAAUCUUGGAGUUGUGCCCUCCUGGGGGAUAAGAAAAAAGCAUCCUGUAGGGUAAAUUUGGUUAAAUAGUGAGCUCUGUGAAAUGUUCCUUUGAUUUCGAACAGGUGGAAGCUCUGGAUUCCAUUCUGGGGGAAAUGAGGUUCAUCCCAAGCAUGCAGGGUCUCAGCAGGAGCUGACCUCAGGAGAGGAUGUUCCUUUAGCUCUGGGCUUACUUCUCCUACCUGGAUCAAGCCACUCAUUUGAACCAGGCCUUCUUCCUUCCAUCUGUAUCCUGCGACCAUUAAACCCUGACAUCAGGAUCCCACACCAAUGACACCCAGCUAACCUUCAGAUGGAGCCACAGGAGAAAGACACUAAGAGGUAGGAUCAGAUAUUAGUUCUAACCAGAUAAUGUCCUAUGGAAAAUGCUUCAGCAGCUGUCACCAACCUUUAUCUGAUAGUAGGAG